GCGGGCGUGGCGGAAUUGGCAGACGCGCUAGGUUUAGGUCCUAGUAGUUUUACUGUGCAGGUUCAAGUCCUGUCGCCCGUACCA
This 84-nucleotide transfer RNA is filed under the name Clostridia bacterium. RNAcentral describes it as "tRNA-Leu". It matches the Rfam family "tRNA". Rfam says of the family: Transfer RNA (tRNA) molecules are approximately 80 nucleotides in length. Their secondary structure includes four short double-helical elements and three loops (D, anti-codon, and T loops). Further hydrogen bonds mediate the characteristic L-shaped molecular structure. tRNAs have two regions of fundamental functional importance: the anti-codon, which is responsible for specific mRNA codon recognition, and the 3' end, to which the tRNAs corresponding amino acid is attached (by aminoacyl-tRNA synthetases). tRNAs cope with the degeneracy of the genetic code in two manners: having more than one tRNA (with a specific anti-codon) for a particular amino acid; and 'wobble' base-pairing, i.e. permitting non-standard base-pairing at the 3rd anti-codon position. The record is from RNAcentral. Lineage: Bacteria; Bacillati; Bacillota; Clostridia.